Molecule: long non-coding RNA, 286 nt
Filed under: Homo sapiens (human)
Lineage: Eukaryota; Metazoa; Chordata; Mammalia; Primates; Hominidae
Description: HSALNT0193512
Source: RNAcentral
ACCAGGCUGCGCAGAUUGUCCUCCUGAGACUGGACCGUGAGAGCAGCAGUCCCGGUCAGCGUCCGGCGAGUAAAGUCGACGCUGCAGCGCAGGUGCAGGUGCUUGGUCCGGCAGACGGAAGCCGGAGAGGCCAACGAACAGGUAUCCACUAUCUCGGGCAUGGCUCUGGGGGAUCACACAGCACAGCGACCUACAGCCCAACGCUCAGCUACCAGACUCGUCGAUAGAGAACCUGAGGAGGAGGGAGAGAGGUAAGCCUGAUUGCAAGCUUCAUUGUACCUGUUUC